This 253-nucleotide ribosomal RNA is filed under the name uncultured bacterium. RNAcentral describes it as "partial 16S ribosomal RNA". It matches the Rfam family "Bacterial small subunit ribosomal RNA", at positions 524 to 776 of the family's 1533-position model. The record is from RNAcentral.
UACAGAGGGUGCGAGCGUUAUUCGGAAUUACUGGGCGUAAAGCGUGCGUAGACGGCUAUCUAAGUCGGAUGUGAAAGCCCCGGGCUCAACCUGGGAAUUGCAUUCGAGACUGAAUAGCUAGAGUGCGGUAGAGGGAAGCGGAAUUUCCGGUGUAGCGGUGAAAUGCGUAGAUAUCUGGAGGAAUACCGGUGGCGAAGGCGGCAUCCUGGACCGGCAUUGACGCUGAUGAGCGAAAGCUAGGGGAGCAAACGGG